Molecule: ribosomal RNA, 447 nt
Filed under: uncultured bacterium
Lineage: Bacteria
Description: partial 16S ribosomal RNA
Rfam family: Bacterial small subunit ribosomal RNA
Source: RNAcentral
GGCCAGACUCCUACGGGAGGCAGCAGUAAGGGAUAUUGGUCAAUGGGGGAAACCCUGAACCAGCAACGCCGCGUGAGGGAAGACGGUUUUCGGAUUGUAAACCUCUGUCCUCUGUGAAGAUGAUGACGGUAGCAGAGGAGGAAGCUCCGGCUAACUACGUGCCAGCAGCCGCGGUAAUACGUAGGGAGCGGGCGUUGUCCGGAUUUACUGGGUGUAAAGGGUGCGUAGGCGGCUAUGCAAGUCAGUAGUGAAAUCCAUGGGCUUAACCCAUGAACUGCUAUUGAAACUGCACAGCUUGAGUGAAGUAGAGGUAGGCGGAAUUCCCGGUGUAGCGGUGAAAUGCGUAGAGGUCGGGAGGAACACCAGUGGCGAAGGCGGCUUACUGGACGAUGACUGACGCUGAGGCUCGAAAGCGUGGGGAGCAAACAGGAUUAGAUACCCCUGUAC